UACGUAGGGCGCAAGCGUUGUCCGGAAUUAUUGGGCGUAAAGAGCUCGUAGGCGGCUUGUCACGUCGGGUGUGAAAGCCCGGGGCUUAACCCCGGGUCUGCAUUCGAUACGGGCAGGCUAGAGUUCGGUAGGGGAGAUCGGAAUUCCUGGUGUAGCGGUGAAAUGCACAGAUAAUCAGGAGGAACACCGGUGGCGAAGGCGGAUCUCUGGGCCGAUACUGACGUGAGGAGCGAAAGCGUGGGGAGCGAACAGG
RNAcentral lists this ribosomal RNA (253 nucleotides) under uncultured bacterium. RNAcentral describes it as "partial 16S ribosomal RNA". It matches the Rfam family "Bacterial small subunit ribosomal RNA", at positions 524 to 776 of the family's 1533-position model. The record is from RNAcentral.